CCUUAUAUAAGUUAUUCUCAAGUUGUUUUUCUAUGAUUUGUUGAGUAUAUAUGCAUAAAUUCUUUAAAGGUUAACUAUUUUAGAAAAAGUGGAGUAUUGGUUUGUAAAAUUCUAUAUUUUUGAAGUAAAUGGCAAGAUUUUGUUAUAUUUGUUUGGAAAGUUAUUUAUGCAUAGUCAAGUGGAGAUAUGUAGUGAAAUGUAGUAUAUUAGAGGGUGGGAGGUCACCUUAGUGGAGAUAGUAAAGAUUAAGUUCAUAUGGCAUUGCUGGCACCUCGGGACGCCAGGUGCAGUACUUACUCUCCUUGGUGCUCGAAAAUGAGUGCGGUGUUGGAGACUUACUCUCCUUAGUACCAAAAAGGUGCGGAGUUGGAGACUAUACUCCUUAGCAUCCGUAGGAUGCGGUGUUGGAGUAACGACACCCCAAUUACUUGUAAUAGGGGAAACGGUAGUUCAAAAGUGGUUUAGUACACCUUGGCUGGGUAGUCCUAUCAUGGAUGGUGAGCUUGGGGACCAUACAUGUGGUUUGGUUCUAUGAAAUAGCCUACUGGUUCAGUCGGGAGUAUUGGAGGACUAGAUUAUUAGGGAUUAUGCAUGCAAAUUUGUGGUGAUCUUAUAUGAUGUGAUCAUGUUACUUAUUUUAAUGCUUGUUUAUAACUUGGCUUGUUAAUAAAUAAUAUAGAUUAUCGUAGUUAUUGAGAUUUUUAUCUCACCUUGUGGAUUAUCAUUUUACAGGUUCUAUCUCUGAGACUGGGCACGGAAAGGAAUUGGGUUCUACCUCUGAGAUUGGGCAGGGAAAGGAAUUGGGCAAGGACUAGUAGAUUUGCUACAUCGAAUAAUAAUACUCGAUUUUGGUUUGAGUGGUGUACAUAAACUUGUUAUAUGAUAUUAUAUGUUGCCAACUAUGUAUAUCAUUUUAAUUGGUUGCACUUGUUUCCUACUAUGUUGUUGUGUAUUUUAGCCCAAUAUGGUAUAUGAUGUGAAUAUGUGGGAAUUUUUGUGUUGAUGGGCUAAAAUACCAAUACAAGUGUAAGGAAUGUUUUAUCUAUGCGGUGACAAUAUAAUUGUAAUGUAUUAUGUGGCAAUGGAAGCUAAAUAGUGCAUGUAGUGUUGAUUGUG
This is a long non-coding RNA of Prosopis cineraria, 1116 nucleotides long. RefSeq lists it as uncharacterized. The record is from RefSeq and is a predicted model, not a curated record. The transcript has 2 exons. NCBI's taxonomy places the organism in Eukaryota, Viridiplantae, Streptophyta, Magnoliopsida, Fabales, Fabaceae.